Molecule: long non-coding RNA, 966 nt
Organism: Neofelis nebulosa (Clouded leopard)
Lineage: Eukaryota; Metazoa; Chordata; Mammalia; Carnivora; Felidae
Exons: 3
Source: RefSeq, a predicted model, not a curated record
UCCCUAACCUUUGCCUUAACUGCUUCAAUGUCAUCUCUUAGUUCCUGGAAUAGGCAAUGGUCCCUUCUGCCUCAGGACUCUGCAACGCCAAGACUCUAAUAGGCAAGGUGACUCAAGAGAGAAAAAAAGAGGCUCUAAAAAUGUAAUUCUGAAAAGUAUACUUCUGAAGUAAAUAUACCUGUCCUCAUGAAGAGAUAGAAAGGGCGGUAUCGUGGAGGCUCUAAGGCUGGUGAGGACCAACCAGUUGGGCUGUCUCAGGUUUAAACAGCUGUGCUCAAAGAAAGGAAGAAUAAGUAAAUGACCUAGUAUAAACAUAAAAUACGCACAGGAAACUUCAUGAGGAGAGUUAGAAAGGUUAAGACUCAGAAAGAAUGAAAGCUUUUGAAAAAUGCCAAAGAGAACAGGAUGCUUUUGAAGUUCACAUCAGUGUGGGGCGUUGAGUGGGAGUGAGGUUGUGAGGUCAACCAACAACAACAAAACAUCCCACUCUUGCCGGUCUUCUUUGCCUCCGUCUCCCGGGUCAGGCAGAAUGUUUUUCAGCCGAGGAAGGGUGGAAGGACAACCCGGAAGAGAAUUGGAAGGCCAAGAUACGGAAAAAGGUCAUCAGAGACCACUGUUCAGAUUUUCAGGUCUCGACACUUUGGUCCAGUUCCUAUGGAGACGUGAAUCGCUGAGAGGCAGCCCUUGAGGGAGCAGAGAUGGUGGGGGAAAGGCCAGCUGUCCCGAACCGGGUCCUCGCCAACUCCAGAAUUUUCAAAGGCCCGUGAUUCCAAGCCAAAAACUGUAUUAUGGAAUGGGGGUGACGGCACGGGGUGCCAGAUGAGGAAUGGAAAGAGAUAAGUGCCAACACUUGGAUCCUCUCCUGAGCAACUAAGUCACCGUUUUGAGGCAGUUUUUAGUCUCUUAGGAUGACUUUGUCUGGGAAGUUUGUCAUCCCUUGAAGUAAAUAAAUUUCUAUCAGGUCCU